This 107-nucleotide small nuclear RNA is filed under the name Prolemur simus (greater bamboo lemur). Lineage: Eukaryota; Metazoa; Chordata; Mammalia; Primates; Lemuridae. The record is from RNAcentral.
GUGCUCACUUCGGCAGCACUUACCCUGAAAUUGGAAUGAUACAGAGAAGAUCAGCAUGGUCCCUGCGCAAGGAUGACACACAAAUUAGUGAAGCGUUCCAUAUUUUA